Molecule: unclassified non-coding RNA, 848 nt
Filed under: Hevea brasiliensis (rubber tree)
Lineage: Eukaryota; Viridiplantae; Streptophyta; Magnoliopsida; Malpighiales; Euphorbiaceae
Source: RNAcentral
AUCCUGAAACCAAAAUCAAAAUUCCUAAUUCACCAACACAACUAAGAAAACCAUCGAUGACAUAAGGCCUCAAUUAGAAGUACAGCAGCUUAGAGAGGAAGAGAGAUCAAUACCAAGAGAGAGAGAGAUGGGUGAGGCCCAAGCAGAGGGCAUCCCUCCACCCACUGCAAACCCCAGAAGCCAUAAUUACGGUCCGAUCAUCAACAAGAGAACCAAUUCGCAGCAAGAGUUCCAUAGGAAUAUCUUUCCACUCAGUGAUGACCACUCCCUCCAUAUUCUUUCCUCCCUGACUAAUGCCACCAGCAAUCCCACUAUUCCCACCACCAACCAUCAGGAGCCUCUCAAAGCACUGGUUCAAGUCCUCACUCCUCAAUUUUGCUUCACCCACCAUUUCACUCUGAACCCACCACCGUCUUUAACCGCUACCGCUGGAAAUUAUUAACAGAGUAUUUCUUGUUUCCAUGUGGAAAAACACCAUAAUAAGUUACUUUCUUUCUUCAGACGUGGAACUGAUGAAGGAUAGUAACAAUCGCAAUCAAUAGGCCCAACAAAUCCCUAUGAAAUAUGAACUACAAACCAAUAAUUAUAAAAACGAAGAACCCAGAAACAGAAAGAAGCAAACAAACAGAAGAAAACGAAGGAGCUCAUUUUCGUCAAUAGAAAACGAAAUACAGACAGACCAUUUCAACAAACCGAAAAGAAUAAAAUAAAUAAAUAAAAAACCGAUCAAGAAAAAUAAAAACCAUCCGUAGAGAGUUCAUCAAUUCCCUUCUGUAGCAUAAUUGAAGAGAAGAAGACGAAGACAAGAAAGAAUGGAAGAAAAAACGACAAAGCGUAUGCAUUACCUG